This 511-nucleotide ribosomal RNA is filed under the name uncultured bacterium. RNAcentral describes it as "partial 16S ribosomal RNA". It matches the Rfam family "Bacterial small subunit ribosomal RNA", at positions 28 to 523 of the family's 1533-position model. The record is from RNAcentral.
GACGAACGCUGGCGGCGUGCCUAAUACAUGCAAGUAGAACGCUGAAGGAGGAGCUUACUUCUCUGGAUGAGUUGCGAACGGGUGAGUAACGCGUAGGUAACCUGCCUGGUAGCGGGGGAUAACUAUUGGAAACGAUAGCUAAUACCGCAUAAGAGUAGAUGUUGCAUGACAUUUACCUAAAAGGUGCAAUUGCACCACUACAAGAUGGACCUGGGUUGUAUUAGCUAGUUGGUGGGGUAACGGCUUACCAAGGCGACGAUACAUAGCCGACCUGAGAGGGUGAUCGGCCACACUGGGACUGAGACACGGCCCAGACUCCUACGGGAGGCAGCAGUAGGGAAUCUUCGGCAAUGGACGGAAGUCUGACCGAGCAACGCCGCGUGAGUGAAGAAGGUUUUCGGAUCGUAAAGCUCUGUUGUAAGAGAAGAACGAGUGUGAGAGUGGAAAGUUCACACUGUGACGGUAUCUUACCAGAAAGGGACGGCUAACUACGUGCCAGCCGCCGCGGUAA